This 1866-nucleotide ribosomal RNA is filed under the name Paramoeba karteshi. RNAcentral describes it as "SSU rRNA". It matches the Rfam family "Eukaryotic small subunit ribosomal RNA". The record is from RNAcentral. Lineage: Eukaryota; Discosea; Flabellinia; Dactylopodida; Paramoebidae.
UUAAGCCAUGCAAGCCUUAGAGUAACCUAUUGAAUAGGAGGUCUGCGAACGGCUCAUUAUAUCAGAGAUAAUUUACCGGGAGAAUCGCAGCUUGUCUGCCAAUGGAUACCCCCGCGAAACGCGGGGCUAAUACAUGUAUGAAUGCGGCUCGCUCCGUCCAGCGCGGCAGCGUGCCGCGUGGGGCGACCGUGCGGAUGGUUGCGAGUAAGACCCGCGGCCUGUUGGCCAGCGUCCCAAAGCGAUGAAUCAGACCAUUCAGCGAAAGCCGCUUCGGCGGCGUGUCCCGACAAAUCUCUGCUCUAUCAGCUCUUUGACGGUAGUGUAGUGGACUACCGUGGCGAUAACGGAUACGGGGAAUUAGGGUUCGAUUCCGGAGAGGGAGCCUGAGAAAUAGCUACCACUUCUACGGAGGGCAGCAGGCGCGUAAAUUGUCCAAUGCCGAAUCGGCGAGACAGCGAAGAAAAAUAGCGACCCCGUGCCAUUGGUGCGGGGCUUGCGAUGGGUGGUACUUACAAACACCAACGAGAACCAAUUGGAGGACAAGUCUGGUGCCAGCACCCGCGGUAAUUCCAGCUCCAAUAGCGUAUAUUAACGUUGCUGCUGUUAAAGGGUUCGUAGUUGAACUCAGGGCAGGGAGACUCCGGUGCUCUGGCACCCGUUCGCCCCUGCCCUGUCAUAGACGGGGCCGCGUCCAGCCUUGCGCCCUUGAGUGGGGGCGUGGCGCCUUCGGGACCGGGCGAGGCGUGCCCGCGGACCGCCCGUCGUUCUCACCGUGAAUAAAACAGCGUGUUCAAAGCAGCUUCGGCUGAAUGACAAAGCAUGGAAUGACAGAGGAUCGACCAGCCUGGUCGUGCUUUUGUUGGUUUUACCGCCCAGUUGGGUAACUUGCCUGCGGCCGCUUCCGGCGGCGCCGCUUGGCACGGGAUUAGCGGGGGUUGUCGGGGGGAAAACGUAUUCGGGCGUGAGAGGUGAAAUUCUUAGACCGCCCGAGGACGAACUUAUGCGAAGGCAUUUUCCAAGUAUACCUUCAUCAAUCAAGAACUAAAGUGUGGAGAUCGAAGAUGAUUAGAUACCAUUGUAGUCCACCACUGCAAACGAUGACGCCCAUGGAUCGGACAGCAUUUUGCUCGAUGGGAUCUUUUCGGCACUGCUUCCUUCAACGCGAAAGCUGAGGCUUUGGUCUCAUGGGGAAGUACGUUCGCAAGGCUGAAACUUAAAGAAAUUGACGGAAUGGCACUACCAGACGUGGAGUGUGCGGUUUAAUUUGACUCAACACGUGGAACCUUACCAGGUCAGGACAACGGAAGAAUUGACAGAUUGAAGCUCUUUCUUGAUUCGUUUGACGGUGGUGCAUGGCCGCUUUUGGUCGGUGAAGUGAUUUGUUUGGUUGAUUCCUUUAACGGACGAGACCCAGGCCGUACGUUAGGGCCGCCGUCACGCUCAGCACGGCGCUCCCCCGGGGGCAGCCGGGCGGUUGGCCCUUCCCUUCGGGAUCCCUAGCGCUUAGCUGGGUGAAAUUCUGGGCAACAGCAGGUCCGUGAUGCUCCUAAAUGUCCUGGGCGACACGCGCACUACAAUGACAAAGUGAAUGAGUGGAACCCUCGGGUCCUGCCUCGACAGAGGUGGGAAAACUGUGAAAACUAUGUCGUGCUUGGGAUCGAAGCUUGCAAUUAUUCUUCUUGAACGAGGAAUGUCUAGUAGGUGUUCGUCAUCAACGAACGCUGACUACGUUCCUGCCAUUUGUACACACCGCCCGUCGUUGUUACUGAUGCCAUUUUGAUACAGGUCGACGGACGCUCUUUUACUCAGCGGAGCGGAAGUCGACCGAUAUUAAAAUAGUAGCAGAAGCAAAAGUCGUAACAAGGU